RNAcentral lists this ribosomal RNA (253 nucleotides) under uncultured bacterium. RNAcentral describes it as "partial 16S ribosomal RNA". It matches the Rfam family "Bacterial small subunit ribosomal RNA", at positions 524 to 776 of the family's 1533-position model. The record is from RNAcentral.
UACGUAGGGUGCGAGCGUUGUCCGGAAUUAUUGGGCGUAAAGAGCUCGUAGGCGGCCUGUCGCGUCGGAUGUGAAAGCCCGGGGCUUAACCCCGGGUCUGCAUUCGAUACGGGCAGACUAGAGUGCGGUAGGGGAGAUCGGAAUUCCUGGUGUAGCGGUGAAAUGCGCAGAUAUCAGGAGGAACACCGGUGGCGAAGGCGGAUCUCUGGGCCGUAACUGACGCUGAGGAGCGAAAGCAUGGGGAGCGAACAGG